Molecule: ribosomal RNA, 497 nt
Filed under: uncultured bacterium
Lineage: Bacteria
Description: partial 16S ribosomal RNA
Rfam family: Bacterial small subunit ribosomal RNA
Source: RNAcentral
GAUGAACGCUGGCGGCGUGCCUAAUACAUGCAAGUCGAGCGAACAGACGAGGAGCUUGCUCCUCUGACGUUAGCGGCGGACGGGUGAGUAACACGUGGAUAACCUACCUAUAAGACUGGGAUAACUUCGGGAAACCGGAGCUAAUACCGGAUAAUAUAUUGAACCGCAUGGUUCAAUAGUGAAAGACGGUUUUGCUGUCACUUAUAGAUGGAUCCGCGCCGCAUUAGCUAGUUGGUAAGGUAACGGCUUACCAAGGCAACGAUGCGUAGCCGACCUGAGAGGGUGAUAGGCCACAAUGGAACUGAGACACGGUCCAGACUCCUAAGGGAGGCAGCAGUAGGGAAUCUUCCGCAAUGGGCGAAAGCCUGACGGAGCAACGCCGCGUGAGUGAUGAAGGUCUUCGGAUCGUAAAACUCUGUUAUUAGGGAAGAACAAAUGUGUAAGUAACUAUGCACGUCUUGACGGUACCUAAUCAGAAAGCCACGGCUAACUACGUG